Molecule: ribosomal RNA, 1639 nt
Filed under: Escherichia coli
Lineage: Bacteria; Pseudomonadati; Pseudomonadota; Gammaproteobacteria; Enterobacterales; Enterobacteriaceae
Also listed under: 1 other name
Description: bacterial LSU rRNA
Rfam family: Bacterial large subunit ribosomal RNA
Source: RNAcentral
AUAAUGGGUCAGCGACUUAUAUUCUGUAGCAAGGUUAACCGAAUAGGGGAGCCGAAGGGAAACCGAGUCUUAACUGGGCGUUAAGUUGCAGGGUAUAGACCCGAAACCCGGUGAUCUAGCCAUGGGCAGGUUGAAGGUUGGGUAACACUAACUGGAGGACCGAACCGACUAAUGUUGAAAAAUUAGCGGAUGACUUGUGGCUGGGGGUGAAAGGCCAAUCAAACCGGGAGAUAGCUGGUUCUCCCCGAAAGCUAUUUAGGUAGCGCCUCGUGAAUUCAUCUCCGGGGGUAGAGCACUGUUUCGGCAAGGGGGUCAUCCCGACUUACCAACCCGAUGCAAACUGCGAAUACCGGAGAAUGUUAUCACGGGAGACACACGGCGGGUGCUAACGUCCGUCGUGAAGAGGGAAACAACCCAGACCGCCAGCUAAGGUCCCAAAGUCAUGGUUAAGUGGGAAACGAUGUGGGAAGGCCCAGACAGCCAGGAUGUUGGCUUAGAAGCAGCCAUCAUUUAAAGAAAGCGUAAUAGCUCACUGGUCGAGUCGGCCUGCGCGGAAGAUGUAACGGGGCUAAACCAUGCACCGAAGCUGCGGCAGCGACGCUGAUGCGUUGUUGGGUAGGGGAGCGUUCUGUAAGCCUGUGAAGGUGUGCUGUGAGGCAUGCUGGAGGUAUCAGAAGUGCGAAUGCUGACAUAAGUAACGAUAAAGCGGGUGAAAAGCCCGCUCGCCGGAAGACCAAGGGUUCCUGUCCAACGUUAAUCGGGGCAGGGUGAGUCGACCCCUAAGGCGAGGCCGAAAGGCGUAGUCGAUGGGAAACAGGUUAAUAUUCCUGUACUUGGUGUUACUGCGAAGGGGGGACGGAGAAGGCUAUGUUGGCCGGGCGACGGUUGUCCCGGUUUAAGCGUGUAGGCUGGUUUUCCAGGCAAAUCCGGAAAAUCAAGGCUGAGGCGUGAUGACGAGGCACUACGGUGCUGAAGCAACAAAUGCCCUGCUUCCAGGAAAAGCCUCUAAGCAUCAGGUAACAUCAAAUCGUACCCCAAACCGACACAGGUGGUCAGGUAGAGAAUACCAAGGCGCUUGAGAGAACUCGGGUGAAGGAACUAGGCAAAAUGGUGCCGUAACUUCGGGAGAAGGCACGCUGAUAUGUAGGUGAAGUCCCUCGCGGAUGGAGCUGAAAUCAGUCGAAGAUACCAGCUGGCUGCAACUGUUUAUUAAAAACACAGCACUGUGCAAACACGAAAGUGGACGUAUACGGUGUGACGCCUGCCCGGUGCCGGAAGGUUAAUUGAUGGGGUCAGCGCAAGCGAAGCUCUUGAUCGAAGCCCCGGUAAACGGCGGCCGUAACUAUAACGGUCCUAAGGUAGCGAAAUUCCUUGUCGGGUAAGUUCCGACCUGCACGAAUGGCGUAAUGAUGGCCAGGCUGUCUCCACCCGAGACUCAGUGAAAUUGAACUCGCUGUGAAGAUGCAGUGUACCCGCGGCAAGACGGAAAGACCCCGUGAACCUUUACUAUAGCUUGACACUGAACAUUGAGCCUUGAUGUGUAGGAUAGGUGGGAGGCUUUGAAGUGUGGACGCCAGUCUGCAUGGAGCCGGCCUUGAAAUACCACCCUUUAAUGUUUGAUGUUCUAACGUUGACCCGU